RNAcentral lists this ribosomal RNA (422 nucleotides) under uncultured bacterium. Its description in RNAcentral is "bacterial SSU rRNA". It matches the Rfam family "Bacterial small subunit ribosomal RNA", at positions 355 to 774 of the family's 1533-position model. The record is from RNAcentral.
UAAGGAAUAUUGGUCAAUGGACGCAAGUCUGAACCAGCCAUGCCGCGUGAAGGAUUAAGGCCCUCUGGGUUGUAAACUUCUUUUAUAUGGGACGGAACGUGCCGAUUCUUCGGCACUUGACGGUACCAUAGGAAUAAGCACCGGCUAACUCCGUGCCAGCAGCCGCGGUAAUACGGAGGGUGCAAGCGUUAUCCGGAUUCACUGGGUUUAAAGGGUGCGUAGGCGGGCAGGUAAGUCAGUGGUGAAAUCUUCCGGCUUAACCGGAAAACUGCCGUUGAUACUAUUUGUCUUGAAUAUUGCGGAGGUAAGCGGAAUAUGUCAUGUAGCGGUGAAAUGCAUAGAUAUGACAUGGAACACCAAUUGCGAAGGCAGCUUACUACACAAUGAUUGACGCUGAUGCACGAAAGCGUGGGGAGCGAACA